This 468-nucleotide ribosomal RNA is filed under the name uncultured bacterium. Its description in RNAcentral is "partial 16S ribosomal RNA". It matches the Rfam family "Bacterial small subunit ribosomal RNA", at positions 28 to 507 of the family's 1533-position model. The record is from RNAcentral.
GACGAACGCUGGCGGCGUGCUUAACACAUGCAAGUCGAACGGAAAGGCCCUGCUUUUGUGGGGUGCUCGAGUGGCGAACGGGUGAGUAACACGUGAGUAACCUGCCCUUGACUUUGGGAUAACUUCAGGAAACUGGGGCUAAUACCGGAUAGGAGCUCCUGCUGCAUGGUGGGGGUUGGAAAGUGUCGGCGGUUGGUGAUGGACUCGCGGCUUAUCAGCUUGUUGGUGGGGUAGUGGCUUACCAAGGCUUUGACGGGUAGCCGGCCUGAGAGGGUGACCGGCCACAUUGGGACUGAGAUACGGCCCAGACUCCUACGGGAGGCAGCAGUGGGGAAUAUUGCACGAUGGGCGGAAGCCUGAUGCAGCAACGCCGCGUGCGGGAUGACUGCCUUCGGGGUGUAAACCGCUUUCGCCUGUGACGAAGCGUGAGUGACGGUAAUGGGUAAAGAAGCACCGGCUAACUACGUG